GCGGCCGCGCCGACGCGGCGACGACGCUGAAGCGCGCAUGGGUCGACCCAGACGAAAUCAACGCCCUCGUGGGAGUCUCCUCGCGCGACUGGCACGUG
RNAcentral lists this non-coding RNA (98 nucleotides) under uncultured eukaryote. The record is from RNAcentral.